AUUACACAUAAAACGUGCAUACAAGUUCCAGUUUGAGAAACAAACUUUUUAAAUUCUGUGUAAAACCCAAAUAUUUCUGCCUCUCUGUCUCGUCUUGUUGCUCCUCUCUGCUCCAGUUGACCAGACCGCGGCGCUGUUUUCACAGUUGGCGAACUACCUCUAUUUGGUCAAGGACUAUGUUGUAAAAAUCUUUGAAACUGUUUAUUUUUCGUGAUUUUUUUACUCUUUUGGGGCUCUGCUCGGUGUCAUUAGGGGGACCGUACGACCGGACUGUGUGAGGACUGUGUGACCGGCCGUGGUGUGACUCUUUCGGACAGCUGCUUGGCGGUUUUCUGCCUUCUGACUGGAGCUUUCACUGCGAACCAAGUUAGCUCAACAGCUAAUCCGAAAAGUCACGUCACCUGUGCGGACUCGAAUUAAAAGUUUGACCGUUGCGUCUGGACACCCUUGUGAGUUUUAAACGUUUCACCUUUAAAAACUUUGUCUCCGGUGUUUUUACGCGGGGUUCAUUUUUUAUCCCGUUCUAACGCAGCUGUUACAUUUUCGUUGGAGUCGGCGGUAAGUGAAGCGAAUCAGCGGGGAACAAAUGCCGUUACUACCCGCAGUCAAACACGGUUAAAGGGGAUUUGGGGAGAGAAAUGCGGUAGGUAGCGGACCCCGGCAGUGUUCAGCCCGCUGACUUGGCGGCUCUCGGUUUGCUGCCAGAGAGGCCUGCGGGUCAGGCUUCCACCGGGCUUGAGUAGAGUCCGGCGCCGCCGUCAGGAGGUCGGAGGCCGGCAGUUGGCGCUGCCGCCGCAGGGCCUUCCUACCGAGAGAUGGAACGGAUGGAAGUCGACCAGUGCGCAGGCGCAGCUGGCGGAGCAGGAGGCGGGGCACUCCGAAGAUCGAACAGCGCCCCGAUGAUUACUAGCGUCAGUGAUGGGAUGACCGUCUUCAGUCCCGUGACGUCGGCUCGUUACAGACGCAGCAGUGUGUCCAUUAACCCCAGCUGUCCCUCACAGCUUGUCCCUCUGUCUCCUUUCUCUCUGACUGCAGACCGACUGGACCACAAGCGGCAGGAAGAAAACAUGGAGAUGACGCUCAGAGGAAGUCUGCAGAGAAUAAGUGCUUCCAGUCUGAUUCCAGUUCCUCCAGUCAGUCAGUGGCAUGACCACACGUCAGUGUGGUUUCAGUCACAAGACAGCGGCGUCACACCAAACUCCUCCCCGAGUCCCACCAGAAGGUUCAGACCGGCGGUCAGUGCAACAGUGAGAUGGCCUGCUUUAACUCCACUAAAGAGGAAAGGAGGGGUGGAGUCUGACGGACCCCCAAAGAAGCUCUUUGUUGCCGGCGUAACAGACCCUGCCCACCGCAGCAGCUACACGGUCAGUGUUUCGCAGUCAGCAGCAGGUUCUCCACCUGCAGGUGGCGUCAGUCCUCAGUCCAGCCCUCUGUCUCUGUCACCACCCCCUUCCUUCACACCGUUCACCUCCCACCAGCACCCCGGGCACUAAACCCUCCUCACCCCCCUCACUUAGCAUCCUGACCCCGUCACUGUGGAUGCAGACCAAUGACUCACCUGCACUGCUAUCUGAGCAUCGAACAAGAAGGAUAAAACAAGGAAGCACAUGAACACAAAACCUCAGUGCAUGUUGGUUCACAUGCAGCUCAGAGCAUACAGCCUCUAGAUAAACGGGCUGUCUCACUCUUCGGUUGAAUUUCUCUGAGAACAUGGAUCAUUUCAAACAGGAGAAGGUUUAUUCUGCAUCUUCUUGGAUGGAUUAAAGUUUGAAGCUGCAGCUGGAGUCAAAGUUGACAUUCUUUAUGAAGUUGCCUAUCAUCUCUGAUGGACCGCUCCGAGUUCUCUAAAGGUCUUGAGUUGUAAUCAAGACGUAGUUGCAGGAAAUGACAAAACAUUUGAAGUGUUUUGGUCAAACUUAUGGAACAUCUUCCACUGACACGCAGAGGAACUAAACCAAACAAACUCCAGGAAACUCUUGAAUGUUGUCCUGGAUAUUCAAGUAUGUAUUGCUCUUUAUAACUGUCAGAUUUAAAUGGAUGCAGUUUUGAAGCUGAAAGCACAAGGAUGGAUGCACAGAGAACCUUCUGGACACUAUUAGCACUUAUUUGAAUGAUUGAACCAGAGUUUAGAUGACAAAUUUGCAUCUUUUAUCAACAAAACAAAUUCUCAAAUAUGCAAAUAUCCAGUGAAAUAUGACAAAAGCUUUGUCCUAAGCCAAACUCCACAUAAAGGGGCUAUAGCUUUCAGCAAGGCUAAAUCUGGCUUCCUUUGUGAAGGUUCUCCUGGUAUUUUUGGGCCUGUACCGACUAGACAUGACUAACAGGAAAUUCAGCCACUGAACAAAGCUUCAGUUGUGAAUAUUUCUGUGUUUUAACGAAAACUCAUCUGGUCUGUCAUGGCUUUGUUGGCUGGCUACACACUAAACCUGUGGACGCCUCUUUAAUGAGAAAUUACAACUCAGAUUUAAACAACCAUUCAAACUUCAUGAAAAAGGCGGUAAUUUGAACCUUGAAUAGGUUAAAAUACGGCUGAACAAAGAGACAGGAUUGGGAUGGUGUGUACAUUUUGGUCGUUUCUUAUAACGCUGAGAAAUUAACACAUAAUCAUGGAAAAAUAAACUUUACUUUCUCAACAUGACAAGAUAAAUAAAUGAAAAAACUAAAUGCAUUUUCCAUCAAGGCUAAAAGGACUAAAAUAAAUUCUACAAAUGUAUGGUCUUAUGACUACCAUACAUCUUUAACUCUUUGCAUUCAUAGUUGAUCUUUAUGUCCUGACCCACCAGUUAAAAGCCACUUCAGUGGGUGGUUCUAGGCCUGAAUUGGCCCCGGUAAUAAAGGGGACACGGCCUGAUCUGAGGCUCGUUGCGACCCAGUUUUGAAUCCUAAAUAUUAAACAUGUUUAACAUGUGACCGGGCAUCAGCCAAUGACAGCGAGCAGACCGGGAGGCAUAACCAACCAGGCGCUGCGUACUUUUACCGUUUCUCUAUCAACAAUACCAUCCUCUCAGCCAGGAUUUCACUGAAACUCUUUGUCUCAGUCUUCAACUGCACAAAGUCACGUUUGACCACAAGAGAUUUUAUGUCUGUGGAACAUGAAAACGUUACUACAGACAACAUCUGUGGUUUAAAAACCGUCUCCUGUGUAGCCAUCCUUGUUGAGACUUCUGGUUUUCCUAGAAGAACCGUGACAGACGCUAACUUUCAACCAUGGUUCUUCUGUAGUUUGGUUCCUCCCAGUUCUAGAGGCUGGUUUGACAACCGGUUCCCGCUCAACUGAAGCUCUUCAGUAGUCUUGUUAAUAGUGUAUCUAUAUGUGAAUAUGGACAGUCGGAGCAGCUGUUUUAUGCUCACUUUUCUUCAGCCUGCAGAGUUUGAUUGUAAAUAUUAAAUCUGCAGGAAGAGGCUGUGCUCUGCCCUCUUUAAUGUGCGUUUUUAUUGUGAUCUUUGUUUGUUUCUCUCUGAGCAACUUCAAUCUUUUCUACUUGAAAACAGCCACUUCAUCCUUCACAAAUCUGGAUCUUUUCUGCCAAGCAGUUCAGGAAGGUCAUCUGAGUUAGUCAAAGACACAUUUUAAUAACGGAAAAAUAAACCUGAAAACAUGAGUCCCUUUAGUUCAUUAUUUUUUAAAUUCAUAGAAUAUUCUGGAUUGAAUCUAGGGGAGUCCACAUCUGUUUGAACUAUCCAUAUGAAUGGCACAAUAACUUUUAACACAGCACGAAACAGCCAUCCCGUGCUGUCCUGUCUUUUUUGGCACCCUUCUGUAGGGGUACCAGGUGUUUCUAUUAGACCAGGUACAGUGGAGCUAGACACAGGACACAGCAGGUAGUCUGUUGACUGGUAGAAAAGAAUCAACACUUCCUGCUUGUCUUCUUUUUGUGACAUUCCAAGAGGAAGACGGGGCCUAUCGUCACCCAGCAUACAGCCCCGCCCACCAAGUAAGGUCACGGUUGGCAAUGGAAACACAAGUGGGGGUCAAGGUUUACCGUAUCAAACUGUACCGAAUGCCCCUUGGUGGCUAGUACCCCUCAAUCCAAUGUGCAAUAGUGUGACCAAUGAGCAUUUGCUCAACGUUGAGCAUCGCCCACACUGGGCUCCGCCCCCUAUUGCACACUGCAUUAAGGGGCUUCUCCUUGAUGGAAACGCAGCCAUGGUAGCCCCAAAGAAAGGUGCCAACAAAGUAGGACGGUACUGAUCAGUUAUCUCGGUAACUUUCCAAACUUUUAACAGUGGAAACGCGAAUAACUACGUACUGAACCAAACUGUACCGAACUGAACUGUACUGAUCUGAACUGAACUGUACUGAUCUGAACCAUACUGAUCCGGACUGAACUGUACUGAACCAACCUGAACUGACUGCUUGGUAGAAACCCAGCUAUGAUCGUGUGUGUUUGUGUUUUCUUUAAUGGGCUGCGUUUCUGCUUCCAACUUUUGCACCUACAGUAUUGUACAGUUUUAUAUUCUCACUCUUCAUCGUGCCUAAACAUGUCGCAAUAUUUCAGAAGAGCGAGGGUGCGGCUGUUAACUUAUCCCAUGUUCAGAUAUGUUGGUACAGAGAGUCUCUAGAAGUUUUAAUUAUCUCCUUUUAAAGAUAAAUCUCUAAAACAGCGAUAUGCACAAACGGGACUUCUUCAAAAUGUUUCCAAAUUUUUCCAAGCGUCUUUUUCUCUGCUGUCACGACUUUGCACAGUUGAUCACUUUAUUUUAUUUUUACAUGAACAUAAAAACAUAUCCUCAUUAAUGCUGGUCAAUUUUGCUGCCUUUUCUGUUUUCUUGCUUUAUUUUUCGACUUGUUGUCGUCUCUCCAAGUCCAUCCUGUUUUGCUGCAAAGCAGAGAACUCCUUCCUGGGUUCCUGCAGGAAAUGUAGCUUUUUUAUUUUUACCAAUGACAAUGGUAUUAUGCAACUAAAGAAAGACAGUACUAGCAUCAUGCUUUGGUUUAUUUGAGCAUAUAUCAAACAGUGAAGUUUCUGAUGGCUGUUAAUGGAAACUGAUGAAAUAUCUACUUCUCAAUAUCGCACCUUUAACAAAAAAAAUAUUUAAGGAUUGAAAUAAACAUUUUCAAAAUGUGUCCAAGCCUACAAGUAGUACUAUAUUAUUUUUAGGAAUGUUCUGGACAUGCCCCCCACCCCACCCCACCCGCACCCACUUGGAAAAAGAAAA
This is an RNA transcript of Cheilinus undulatus (humphead wrasse), 5160 nucleotides long. It is a transcript of the gene named P2R1A-PPP2R2A-interacting phosphatase regulator 1, with no coding region annotated. The transcript is spliced from 10 exons. The record is from RefSeq and is a predicted model, not a curated record. NCBI's taxonomy places the organism in Eukaryota, Metazoa, Chordata, Actinopteri, Labriformes, Labridae.